Molecule: long non-coding RNA, 363 nt
Organism: Prosopis cineraria
Lineage: Eukaryota; Viridiplantae; Streptophyta; Magnoliopsida; Fabales; Fabaceae
Exons: 3
Source: RefSeq, a predicted model, not a curated record
CGCGAGCUGAGGCGGAGAGAAGCGAGUUGCCGGUGCGAAAUAUCUAAAUUUUUAAGAUUGUAUUACUGGUGAAGAUUGUGGAGAGAGAGAAAUUUUAAGGAAUAAUUUAUUGAAAAAGCCACAAGGAGAAGAGCCACGAGUGACACGUAGAGGAGUCCCAGAGGCUUAGUAGUAUAGAUCCACUGUCUCUUUUGGGUAUUUAAUUUAUGAUUUAUAAUGUGUUAUAUUGCCAAUAUUAGGACUUUUUUAUGUUUAUUGUCAAUUAUAUGAAUAUAUAAAUGUAAUCAUGCCUUUCAAACUAUUUCUAUUUUUGGUACAAUUUGGAUGACUGUAAUUUUAAUAUUUGGUUUACUUUGGAUUGGU